RNAcentral lists this transfer RNA (70 nucleotides) under Ryssota otaheitana. Its description in RNAcentral is "tRNA-Lys". Lineage: Eukaryota; Metazoa; Mollusca; Gastropoda; Stylommatophora; Chronidae. The record is from RNAcentral.
UUUUUUAUGGCCGAGUUCAAGCGAUAAAUUUUUAAUUUAUUUACAGAAAAUAAAUAUUUUCUUUUGCGAU